This 459-nucleotide ribosomal RNA is filed under the name uncultured bacterium. Its description in RNAcentral is "partial 16S ribosomal RNA". It matches the Rfam family "Bacterial small subunit ribosomal RNA", at positions 338 to 795 of the family's 1533-position model. The record is from RNAcentral.
CCUACGGGUGGCAGCAGUGAGGAAUAUUGGUCAAUGGGCGCGAGCCUGAACCAGCCAAGUCGCGUGAGGGAAGACGGUCCUAUGGAUUGUAAACCUCUUUUGUCGGGGAGCAAAAGACGCCACGCGUGGCGUUCCGAGAGUACCCGAAGAAAAAGCAUCGGUUAACUCCGUUCCAGCAGCCGCGGUAAUACGGAGGAUGCGAGGAUUAUACGGGUGUAUUGGGGUUAAGGGGUGCGCAGGCGGAAGAUCAAGUCAGCGGUAAAAUUGAGAGGCUCAACCUCUUCGAGCCGCUGAAACUGGUUUUCUGGAGUGAGUGAGAAGUAUGCGGAAUGCGUGGUGUAGCGGUGAAAUGCAUAGAUAUCACGCAGAACUCCGAUGGCGAAGGCAGCAUACCGGCGCUCAACUGACGCUCAUGCACGAAAGUGUGGGUAUCGAACAGGAUUAGAUACCCCGGUAGUC